CCUACGGGCGGCAGCAGUGAGGAAUAUUGGUCAAUGGACGAGAGUCUGAACCAGCCAAGUAGCGUGAAGGAUGACUGCCCUAUGGGCGGUAAACUUCUUUUGUGCGGGAGCAAUAAUGGUCACGUGUGGCCAGACGAGAGUACCGUACGAAUAAGCAUCGGCUAACUCCGUGCCAGCAGCCGCGGUAAUACGGGGGAUGCAAGCGUUAUCCGGAUUUAUUGGGUUUAAAGGGUGCGUAGGCUGUGAGGUAAGUCAGCGGUGAAAUGCCACCGCUCAACGGGGUGAAGUGCCAUUGAUACUGCCUUGCUGGAAUACGGAUGACGUGGGAGGAAUGUGUGGUGUAGCGGUGAAAUGCAUAGAUAUCACACAGAACACCGAUUGCGAAGGCAUCUCACGAAUCCGCGAUUGACGCUGAUGCACGAAAGCGUGGGUAUCAAACAGGAUUAGAUACCCUGGUAGUC
RNAcentral lists this ribosomal RNA (461 nucleotides) under uncultured bacterium. Its description in RNAcentral is "partial 16S ribosomal RNA". It matches the Rfam family "Bacterial small subunit ribosomal RNA", at positions 338 to 795 of the family's 1533-position model. The record is from RNAcentral.